UAAGUGAAUGCCAAAGGCACCUAUUUGUUAAUUAGGCCCAUGCUAUAUAUUAGCUCGCUUAG
This 62-nucleotide transfer RNA is filed under the name Aporrectodea rosea. RNAcentral describes it as "tRNA-Asn". Lineage: Eukaryota; Metazoa; Annelida; Clitellata; Crassiclitellata; Lumbricidae. The record is from RNAcentral.